AGUGAACGCUGGCGGUAGGCCUAACACAUGCAAGUCGAACGGCAGCACAGUAAGAGCUUGCUCUUACGGGUGGCGAGUGGCGGACGGGUGAGGAAUACAUCGGAAUCUACUUUUUCGUGGGGGAUAACGUAGGGAAACUUACGCUAAUACCGCAUACGACCUACGGGUGAAAGCAGGGGAUCUUCGGACCUUGCGCGAUUGAAUGAGCCGAUGUCGGAUUAGCUAGUUGGCGGGGUAAAGGCCCACCAAGGCGACGAUCCGUAGCUAGUCUGAGAGGAUGAUCAGCCACACUGGAACUGAGACACGGUCCGGACUCCUACGGGAGGCAGCAGUGGGGAAUAUUGGACAAUGGGCGCAAGCCUGAUCCAGCCAUACCGCGUGGGUGAAGAAGGCCUUCGGGUUGUAAAGCCCUUUUGUUGGGAAAGAAAAGCAGCAGGUUAAUACCCCGCUGUUCUGACGGUACCCAAAGAAUAAGCACCGGCUAACUUCGUG
This 492-nucleotide ribosomal RNA is filed under the name uncultured bacterium. RNAcentral's name for it is "partial 16S ribosomal RNA". It matches the Rfam family "Bacterial small subunit ribosomal RNA", at positions 29 to 507 of the family's 1533-position model. The record is from RNAcentral.